CGCCUCUUGCAACCAAAGUAUAAGAGGUCCUGCCUGCCCAGUGACAUUAAGUUUAACGGCCGCGGUAUUAUGACCGUGCAAAGGUAGCGUAAUCACUUGUCUUUUAAAUAAAGACCAGUAUGAAUGGCAAGACGAAAGUUCAACUGUCUCCCUAAAUUAAUCAAUGAAAUUGAUCUUCCCGUGCAGAAGCGGGAAUAAAAUUAUAAGACGAGAAGACCCUAUGGAGCUUUAAAUAUAUGAUCAACUGUAUAAUAUAAAAUUCAAUAGAUUAAAUAUUUAAUAAAACAUUAUGAUCAAAAUUUUAGGUUGGGGCGACCACGGAGAAAAACAAAACCUCCGAGAUGAAAAGAAUAUCUUAAUUUAUGAAUUACAGUUCUAAUAAAUAAAAUAUUUAACAUAAUUGAUCCAAUAUUUUUGAUCAACGAACUAAGUUACCCUAGGGAUAACAGCGCAAUCCUUUCCAAGAGUCCCUAUCGACGAAUGGGUUUACGACCUCGAUGUUGGAUCAGGACACCCCAAUGGUGCAGCCGCUAUUAAAGGUUCGUUUGUUCAACGAUUAAAGUCCU
This 566-nucleotide ribosomal RNA is filed under the name Batrachuperus pinchonii (Western Chinese mountain salamander). RNAcentral's name for it is "partial 16S ribosomal RNA". It matches the Rfam family "Bacterial large subunit ribosomal RNA", at positions 1817 to 2597 of the family's 2925-position model. Lineage: Eukaryota; Metazoa; Chordata; Amphibia; Caudata; Hynobiidae. The record is from RNAcentral.